This 3707-nucleotide long non-coding RNA is filed under the name Daphnia pulex (common water flea). RNAcentral's name for it is "uncharacterized LOC124207889". The record is from RNAcentral. Lineage: Eukaryota; Metazoa; Arthropoda; Branchiopoda; Diplostraca; Daphniidae.
AUUUCGUCUGCUGAAUUUUCUUCAAUAGUUUUUACUAUUUUCUUGUUUACAAGAUUUUUCGCAUGUGCAAAACAAAAUUGUGUCGUCAGUUUCGUACAAAUUGCACACUCGAUUCCUAUCUUUUACCUCUCUUAAUUAUAAUACGCACAUUCCUUUUUCGAAGGCCAAAGAGGGGAAUUUCAUACGCUCCACAUUUGGAGAACUCUUUUGAGGGUGACACACUCUUACAAAGAAAUCUACAACGAAUUUUACCAAUUGAAGCUUACAGCAAUGUCAAGGAUGAGCUCUCAACGUUUGGAGCUCGAGUAGCUACAGACAUCUACAAGUAUAUUAGCAGAAAGUCUCUUGAAAUUGCAAUCACUUCACUAAUCCCUUCCCAUCACCAAUCUGGGAAGGAACUACAAACAUUUUGAGUUUGGACGUACUCAGAGCAUUGGCCAAAAGUGAAGGCCAAGUGUUGGUUGCGUUUCACCAGAGGAUUCAAGGUGUUCUCGACUCGACGACCAACCCGUCCUUAGCCGAGUGUUGCACUCAAUUGGAGAAAUACCGUUCCCAAUUGAUUUCGUUCGCCCAGAAGAAUCCCGAUCAGUUGGAAUACGUCGCCCGCGAUUUCGCUUUCGGCCUGGCUCGCACUCUAGCCGGUGCCUUGCUCCUGGAACACGCUUCAUGGGGCAGAGCAGUAGACAGCGAUCGUGCUGCAGCCGAACGUUGGCUAGGACAACGAGAUCUCCUUGCCCAAUCUCUGGUUUCGGGACAGACUGCAAGCCAUUCAUCGCUGUCCGUCCAGCAACUCGACGAAGCUUUGGUCUUUGAUGGAUACGAUCAAAAGAACCUACUCUCGCCCCUCUUCUGAUCUACCGUUCUAGUUCUUCGCUUCUCAUUAAAACGAAACUCAGGAUAGAUUAUGGAUUAAACAGAAACUGCCAUCCCCGACCCCCCAAAAACUUAAAGGCCCAUCAUAUAAGAACGUUUACAGAAUUGAACGACCGAACUUGUACUAGGGAGAAAGUUGAUAUUGAUCUAGAAUUGGAACGGGAGUUCGAUUUCAACGAUCCUGAUUAGCCAGGCCCAGUAAAUACGGACCGAGACAUUUUUUCAUUUGUCAUAAGAAAUAUCGCAAAAAAUGAAAAUGCGCAUGUAAAGAAUAUAGCAAUCUUUAAGGAUUCUUUCCUUUUCUCUUAGAGCCAGACCUGAAAGUUGCACUACCAGUUUAUGAAAUAAGUCAAAAGAUUCGUGCGACCAGUUUGACAGAAGAUUUUUGGCCAAAUUGUCAACUCCAAACAAAAGUGGCUCUACAUUCUAACCAGUUCCCCCACGUGUUUCGCGGUUUAGGGUCUUAUUUUCAAAAUUCCAGUGUUUGAAAAUGGACUCAAGUGAAGUGAAAUUAUCUAGCGAUGGCCUUAACCCACUACAAACUAUUGCCCGAAGAAAUUGUGGCUUAUUCCACGGUAUAACACAAUUAUAGCAACUGAACGGCCGAACGUGUUAAGGGAAGAAAGAUGUUUUCCAAAAGGAGUUGUACAGAUGCACCAUCAAACUCCUUCCAGAAUCCAGUAUUCUCGACACAAAAAUCGGUACAUUAAGAUUCAUUAAAUGACAAACAACGAAUUGCUGGUGACUGGGACCCUGCAUGUAGUUACGUGGGUAAACAGCUACCGAAUCCUUCGUGUAAAACCAAAUAGAAAGGGAAACUUUUUCGCAACUAAAUCAUAUACGGUCAUCUAACUCUAUCUUAGUAGGUCAUGACAUACGCGUAUUCCAAAUAGCGCAGCAAUCUCGAGUAUUCACCCUUUCUGAUUGGAUUCGUGAUGUUGAGGUUGCUUUGCGAGACAAUUCAUUAUCAAACGGUCAGCACCCACUGACACUACUACAAAAUAAUCAGUUCCCCAUUCUUUAUUACUCCAGUGUUUGUUUAACUUGGAAGUUCUUUAAGUUAAGACAGCGUCAAUAUGAGCUUGAAAGUAAAUCACUGUUGUUGUGGUUGCUCCCUACAAACUGGCACCAAAAUUAUUGGAUGGCUCUACUUGGUGUGUGAAAUUAUAGCUAUUGUUAUGUUGGUGCUGGUCGAAGUCUUACCUGAAGAGCAGACGAGUCAGACGACAAUCUCGGAAACUGGAAAUCCAGAAACAUUGGCGAUCAUGGAGAUAGCUAGCAUAGUUAUUGCCGCCAUCAAGAUCCUAGUCACCGUGCCACUUCUUAUUGCGGCUUAUAAGAAUAGUCGACCGAUGCUACUUUUACCUUGGCUCAUUUUCGCCAUCCUAACUGCGUUAAUGGCAAUCGGCACCGGAAUAGCAUCCGUAAUCAACUCAAGUGGCAAAGAAACUUUUUUCAAUGAAAUCAUCGCCAACACUGUUGUUAAUUUUCUUGGAUCUGCUCUUACAAUCUACUAUUGGAUAGUCGUCUACAGCUUCUAUCGACGACUGAGAGAAACACAACCAUAACAGCUAUAAAAAUGCAUCUUCAUUUCGAUUCAAUAUUUCUAAAAACUCUUAAGCAUUUGCAUUAAGUCUAUGGCCAAUGGAGAAUCUAAUACAUUAAGUAUAACCGAAGCGUCAAGGAAAAUGAAUUUCCCUCUUUGAUUUGGCGGUUUCAGGAUGUGACCGUGAUGGAAUCACCAAGUUCAUCGAUCCCUUCCUUGUCCGGACUUGUAUUCAAAAAGAAACAAAAGAGUAAAGGAGUGGGCGGAUUUGGUAAAAUCAUUUCAUUUUUACUUCCCACUCAAAAAGAAAAUUGGCCUUGGCUAUUCCAGAUAAAGGGUAGUGGCUUGCAUUUGUUUUGUUACGUUAGAAAAGGCAGCCCACACCUGAACUUUAUUAUUAUACACAAUAUGUGAGAAACUGAGAACAAAGACGUCGUAUAGUAAUGCUUCAAAGUUCAAACUGUAUUUGAGAAAUAAUUGAUUUCCAAGUGCAAGUGGUACAACAGACGACAACAGAUUGCGUGUUUGUUUUCACUGUAUUUCGGACUUGUACUUUCGCUGUCGAGUGGAGCAUUUUUCCAUCCUUGUGUGAACGUGUGUUGUGUACAUUAAAUUGUUGUGAACUGAAUAAUGCCGGUUUAUUACACCUCUGUCAAAGCUAACAAUAAUGCAUUCCAAUCAGACGGAAAUGGAAUAGUCGGCUGUCAGUUGAAUCAGUUCUGUUGCGGAUACUCACUCCGAACCGGAACCAAAGUCGUUGGUUCCCUGUCUAUGCUAGGUGGAGUGGCAGUGCUCAUUUAUUCUCUAACUGUCAUCUCCAGUUUGAAUAAUGCGCGACAUGGGAAUUAUUUCUUGUUGGGUAAUUCGUUAGGAAAUGCAAAUGAUUCCAAAAUACCUAUGACAAGUUUCGUCACGUCGGCCGUCGCCAUUGUUUGCUCGAUUCCCGUUCUCGUUAUGGCCUAUAAGAAUCUCAGUCCGAGGCUUCUCGUCCCUUGGCUAGUGGUGAACAUUGUGCCGUCGCUCGCCGUCAUUGGAUUCUUCAUUUACUUGGCCGUUUUUGAGCUAAUAACUGAAGGCUUGGAUGACAUCAUAGGAAUAAUAGUCAUCUUCGCCGGUGUCCUUUCAGGAGCGAUUUGGUUCUACUUUUGGCUGGUCAUCUACAGCUUCUAUCAGAAUCAAAAGAUAAACGAUAGGGAGCCGCUUCUGGACGACCAGAGCUAACACGAAGAAUAUUAAUUUAAAUUUACUAAAUGAGCUAAUCUUUGAAGAAUACAAAUUUGAACUUGUC